UAGAGUUUCGAUCCUGGCUCAGGACAACGCUGGCGGUGUGCCUCAUACAUGCAAGUCGAACGAGAAGCAGGAGCUUGCUCCUGUGGAAAGUGGCGGACGGGUGAGUACAACAUAGGAAAUCUGCCUUAGGGUGGGGGACAACAGAGGGAAACUUCUGCUAAUACCCCAUAUGAGCUUGGUUGAAAUACCAAUCUUGAAAGUUCCGGCGCCCUAAGAUGAGCCUGUGCCUGAUUAGCUAGUUGGUGGUGUAAUGGACUACCAAGGCGACGAUCAGUAGCUGGUUUGAGAGGAUGAUCAGCCACAAUGGGACUGAGACACGGCCCAUACUCCUACGGGAGGCAGCAGUAGGGAAUUUUGCGCAAUGGGGGAAACCCUGACGCAGCAACACCGCGUGAAUGUUAAGCCCUUCGGGGUGUAAAGUUCUGUCAAUAGGGACGAAUUUUGACUGUACCUAUAAAGGAAGCACCGGCUAACUCCGUG
Molecule: ribosomal RNA, 480 nt
Filed under: uncultured bacterium
Lineage: Bacteria
Description: bacterial SSU rRNA
Rfam family: Bacterial small subunit ribosomal RNA
Source: RNAcentral